This 253-nucleotide ribosomal RNA is filed under the name uncultured bacterium. RNAcentral describes it as "partial 16S ribosomal RNA". It matches the Rfam family "Bacterial small subunit ribosomal RNA", at positions 524 to 776 of the family's 1533-position model. The record is from RNAcentral.
UACAGAGGGGGCAAGCGUUGUUCGGAAUUACUGGGCGUAAAGGGCGCGUAGGCGGCCUGCUAAGUCGAACGUGAAAUCCCCGGGCUCAACCCGGGAACUGCGUCCGAUACUGGCAGGCUUGAAUCCGGGAGAGGGAUGCGGAAUUCCAGGUGUAGCGGUGAAAUGCGUAGAUAUCUGGAGGAACACCGGUGGCGAAGGCGGGUCUCUGGGCCGAUACUGACGCUGAGGAGCGAAAGCGUGGGGAGCGAACAGG